This 24-nucleotide small RNA is filed under the name Arabidopsis thaliana (thale cress). RNAcentral describes it as "ATSL227860". Lineage: Eukaryota; Viridiplantae; Streptophyta; Magnoliopsida; Brassicales; Brassicaceae. The record is from RNAcentral.
AAUUUUGACGGUAAAAACUACUAA